This 318-nucleotide long non-coding RNA is filed under the name Oryza brachyantha (malo sina). RNAcentral describes it as "long non-coding RNA (OBRA_LNC002556)". Lineage: Eukaryota; Viridiplantae; Streptophyta; Magnoliopsida; Poales; Poaceae. The record is from RNAcentral.
UAUUAAUAGAGAUAGCGCCAUUCAUGGGUUCAGCUCUUAUCAUAUGUUGAAACAAACAUAUAUAGUUCAUUCAACUCCAAGAGAUAUUAGAGGAUAACUAAAUAAUAUAUAUAGGAUGGUUUAUAUUUCAUAUCUAUGUGGCAUCCACGGGCUUGAUGAAAAGUCACAAGGAGACGGAUGACUUUACACGCAACGCAAACAAGCUUGGAGGCGGCAACGAUUAUAGAAAUAUAGUUGUCUGUGGGUAAAACAUACAUAGUCGAGACGUAUAUAUUAUCCAAUAUAGCGGCAAUAAGGCUAUCGGUAGUGGCAGCAACG